Molecule: long non-coding RNA, 464 nt
Organism: Penaeus monodon (black tiger shrimp)
Lineage: Eukaryota; Metazoa; Arthropoda; Malacostraca; Decapoda; Penaeidae
Exons: 2
Source: RefSeq, a predicted model, not a curated record
AAUCUCCCCUCCUGCAAAUUUUUUUGAAGAGAAAGGUUGUUUCUCGGGAUAGAUGUUCACUAAAGGAGCUGCAAGAUAUUUGUUCAUAUAGCGAUUGCAAGAGAAAUUAAAUUUUUUAUGACCUUUUUUUUAUGGCAAUGGCGUUUCUGCUCCUGUGUAUUUUUUUAAUGAAAGAUUAGUCAUUUUAGUUGCAGAGAAUUCAUUAUUAUUAUUCAUUGAUAAGGUUUGGCUGCAGCACUAUCAUUAAGAUUAAGUAGAAAUGAACCUUAAAGGCUUCUAUUUGUGUAUCUAGUUCAUAUGUAGUUGUUUGAUAGGUUCUUUAUAUUUUACUUGCUGAAAGUUUUAUAUUUAUUCUGUUUAUUAUUAUUUUGUAAAUUUUCUUGGAGUUUGUCAUUAGAAUGGGUAAAGAGCAUUGGAACUCUAAACAUUUCUAUGUAAUAUUUUAUAUUAAAAGUUUAAUUGUA